This 741-nucleotide long non-coding RNA is filed under the name Anas platyrhynchos platyrhynchos (common mallard). Its description in RNAcentral is "lncRNA (ENSAPLG00000023378.1)". The record is from RNAcentral. Lineage: Eukaryota; Metazoa; Chordata; Aves; Anseriformes; Anatidae.
UAAAAAAUAAAAAUAAAAAUAAAAUAAAAUAAAAUAAAAUAAAAUAAAAUAAAAUAAAAUAAAAUUAAAUAAAUAAAAUAUUCCAAAUACAAAUCCAAAUAAUCCCAAAAGAUUAUGGUAUGUGCAAAGGCAAAUAUGAGACACAUCACAAUAUGCAUUUACAUUUACAUGGCAUUCGUAUGUAUGUAUGCUGGAUGAAUAUUUUCCUUAAUAUUCAACAGUUUUACAGCUCUAUGAAGAAUGAUAGAAAAUUCAAUUGCUACCCGAAGACUAGCAAGCUAAUAGCUGUGGCUUGUCAUCAAGCCCAUCAAUAAUAUCAGAUUUGGAAACAAGGAAGGACAAUGGUUCCUGGCUGAUGGAAGACACAUGCCUUAAAGAGCACAUCUUGCAAAAAAAAAAAAAAAAGUACUAGAGAAAAUAUCAUGAUCUAAACAGGAUUUUGGAAUGAAUUUGUAUAAAAUACGCAUGUCAUUUUGCCUGUUUUUUUUUUUUUUUUUUGAGUGGGAAGGGAGAAGGGAAGAAAAAGAUAACAACACUGUAAGGAAUGCUGCAUUUCUCCCAUUAAGGGGUGCCAUGUGUUCUAAAUCUACAGGAUACAACUGGAGAUGAAAAAGGAUUUGUGUGUCUUCAUUUCACUCAAAAAUAUUAUGCUACCGUGUCUUGACAUCUUAUUGUUCAUGCUGUUCAUGCCUGAUGGAGGUAUUUAAGGGUAAUAUAUUUCUCUUGUAAUUGAGGCUGACU